Molecule: unclassified non-coding RNA, 304 nt
Filed under: plant metagenome
Description: partial contains 5.8S ribosomal RNA, internal transcribed spacer 2, and large subunit ribosomal RNA
Rfam family: 5.8S ribosomal RNA (bases 1-104)
Source: RNAcentral
AAAUGCGAUAAGUAAUGUGAAUUGCAGAAUUCAGUGAAUCAUCGAAUCUUUGAACGCACAUUGCGCCCGCCAGUAUUCUGGCGGGCAUGCCUGUUCGAGCGUCAUUUCAACCAUCAAGCCCCCGGCUUGUGUUGGGGACCUGCGGCUGCCCGCAGGCCCUGAAAGACAGUGGCGGGCUCGCUGUCACACCGAGCGUAGUAGCAUACAUUCUCGCUCAGGGCGUGCUGCGGGUUCCGGCCGUUAAACGACCUUCAUAACCCAAGGUUGACCUCGGAUCAGGUAGGAAGACCCGCUGAACUUAAGC